CAGCUCUGGGGGGGUCUCCUUCCUCGGGAGGCAAAAUGGCAGGAGGAAGGAGGCACUCAUCCUGCAAUGGGAUGCUGAAGAACAGGCAGAAGGCAAGUUCGCUUGCUGGGUGGGAUCGCAGCUUGAAGGCAGCCGAUUCCCAGAGUCAGAAGCUGGCUGGUGUCUGGAAACAGACCUGGCAGAAGCUGGCAGAUGGAGUUUGCAUGUGGUCGAAGAGAAUGGCGUGUGUCUGCGUGUGUCAGUGGGAGCGUUCGGACAUGGUCGAGGAGGAUGGUGUGUUUCUGCGUGUGUGAGUGGGAGCAUUCGGACGUGGUCGAGGAGAAUGGUGUGUGUCUGGGUGUGUGAGUGGGAGCCUUUGGACGUGGUCGAGGAGAAUGGUGUGUGUGUGUGUCUGUGUGUCAGUGGGAGCGUUUGGACGUGGUCGAGGAGAAUGGUGUGUGUGUGUGUGUGAAUGGGAGCAGCCAGUGGAGGGUCUGGCUGAGGCUGUUGGACGGAGGCCAUCCCACUCACCAUGUUGUUUGCCUUUCAGGAAUCCGGUGAGGUUUUCCCCAAGACCGAUCAUGAAAGUAAUGAAGAGAACAGCAGGACGGAAGCAAAGCAGUUUAUAUUCCUAAAUAAAUGACCUUUUUUUUUUAAAAAAAAAAAAGCAAAACUGUGUCUGACU
This is a non-coding RNA of Podarcis lilfordi (Lilford's wall lizard), 664 nucleotides long. NCBI's taxonomy places the organism in Eukaryota, Metazoa, Chordata, Lepidosauria, Squamata, Lacertidae. The record is from the annotation of a GenBank genome assembly.